CCUACGGGAGGCAGCAGUGGGGAAUAUUGCACAAUGGGCGAAACCCUGAUGCAGCAACGCCGCGUGAGCGAAGAAGGAAUUCGGUACGUAAAGCUCUGUCAUCAAGGAAGAUAAUGACGGUACUUGAGUAAGAAGCCCCGGCUAACUACGUGCCAGCAGCCGCGGUAAUACGUAGGGGGCUAGCGUUAUCCGGAUUUACUGGGGGUAAAGGGUGCGUAGGUGGUGUCUUAAGUCGGAGGUGAAAGGCUAGGGCUCAACCGUGGGAAGGCUUUGAAAAUGGGGAACUUGAGUGCAGGAGAGGUAAGUGGAAUUCCGAGUGUAGCGGUGAAAUGCGUAGAUAUUAGGAGGAACACCAGUGGCGAAGGCGGCUCACUGGACUGUAACUGACACUGAGGCACGAAAGCGUGGGGAGCAAACAGGAUUAGAUACCCCGGUAGUC
Molecule: ribosomal RNA, 439 nt
Filed under: uncultured bacterium
Lineage: Bacteria
Description: partial 16S ribosomal RNA
Rfam family: Bacterial small subunit ribosomal RNA
Source: RNAcentral